Molecule: ribosomal RNA, 835 nt
Filed under: uncultured archaeon
Lineage: Archaea
Description: bacterial SSU rRNA
Rfam family: Archaeal small subunit ribosomal RNA
Source: RNAcentral
UUCCGGUUGAUCCUGCCGGACCUUACUGCUAUCGGGGUGGGACUAAGACAUGCGAGUCGAGCGUCUCUAGCUAUGUUGAGACGCGGCAUACGGCUCAGUAACACGUGGCUAACCUACCCUCAGGACAAGGAUAACCCCGGGAAACUGGGGCUAAUACUUGAUAGGCGAAGAUGCCUGGAAUGGUUCUUCACUCAAAGGGCUUUAGAAACAUGCUUUUAAAGUCGCCUGGGGAUGGGGCCGCGACCGAUCAGGUUGUUGGUGAGGUAAUGGCUCACCAAGCCUAUAACCGGUACGGGCCGUGAGAGCGGUAGCCCGGAGAUGGGUACUGAGACAAGGACCCAGGCCCUACGGGGCGCAGCAGUCGCGAAACCUCCGCAAUGCACGAAAGUGUGACGGGGCUACCCCGAGUGCCUUCCGCUGAGGAUGGCUUUUCCUUGGUAUAACUAGCCGAGGGAAUAAGGAGAGGGCAAGACUGGUGUCAGCCGCCGCGGUAAUACCAGCUCUCCGAGUGGUAGGGAUGAUUAUUGGGCUUAAAGCGUCCGUAGCCUGCUUAGCAAGUCUCCUGUUAAAUUCAACGACCUAAUCGUUGAGCCGCGGGAGAUACUACUAGGCUAGGAGGCGGGAGAGGUCGACGGUACUUCUGGGGUAGGGGUGAAAUCCUAUAAUCCCAGGAGGACCACCAGUGGCGAAAGCUGUCGACUAGAACGCGCUCGACGGUGAGGGACGAAAGCUGGGGGAGCGACCCGAUUAGAUACCCGGGUAGUCCCAGCCGUAAACGAUGCGGGCUAGUGUUGAGUGGCUACGGCCACUUCAGUGCCCGCAGGAAACCGUUAAC